Molecule: ribosomal RNA, 756 nt
Filed under: uncultured archaeon
Lineage: Archaea
Description: bacterial SSU rRNA
Rfam family: Archaeal small subunit ribosomal RNA
Source: RNAcentral
GGAUAACCUGCCCUUGGGUUCGGGAUAACUCCGGGAAACUGGGGAUAAUACCGGAUAACGCAUAUAUGUUGGAAUUCUUUAUGCGUGAAACGGAUUCGUCUGCCCAAGGAUGGGUCUGCGGCCUAUCAGGUAGUAGUGGGUGUAAUGUACCUACUAGCCAACGACGGGUACGGGUUGUGAGAGCAAGAGCCCGGAGAUGGAUUCUGAGACAUGAAUCCAGGCCCUACGGGGCGCAGCAGGCGCGAAAACUUUACAAUGCGGGAAACCGUGAUAAGGGGACACCGAGUGCCAACAUCAUAUGUUGGCUGUCCGGGUGUGUAAAAUACACCUGUUAGCAAGGGCCGGGCAAGACCGGUGCCAGCCGCCGCGGUAACACCGGCGGCCCGAGUGGUGAUCGUUUUUAUUGGGUCUAAAGGGUCCGUAGCCGGCUUGGUCAGUCCUCCGGGAAAUCUGACGGCUUAACCGUUAGGCUUUCGGGGGAUACUGCCAGACUUGGAACCGGGAGAGGUAAGAGGUAUUACAGGGGUAGGAGUGAAAUCUUGUAAUCCCUGUGGGACCACCUGUGGCGAAGGCGUCUUACCAGAACGGGUUCGACGGUGAGGGACGAAAGCUGGGGGCACGAACCGGAUUAGAUACCCGGGUAGUCCCAGCCGUAAACGAUGCUCGCUAGGUGUCAGGCAUGGCGCGACCGUGUCUGGUGCCGCAGGGAAGCCGUGAAGCGAGCCACCUGGGAAGUACGGCCGCAAGGCUGAAACU